GACGAACGCUGGCGGCGUGCUUAACACAUGCAAGUCGAACGGAAAGGCCCUGCUUUCAGGGUGCGCUAGUGUGGAACGGGGGAGUAACACAUGGGUGAUCUCCGCUCCACAUCUUGAUAAGCCUUGGAAACUGUGGCUAAUACCGGGGAUGAGCCAUUCUGCUGCUUGUGGGUGGAAAGUAUUUUCGGUGUAGGAUGAGCUCGCGGCCUUUCUGCCUGCUGGUUGGUUAAUGGGCUACCAAGGCGGUCAAGGGUAGCCGGCCUGAGAGGGUGGACGGCCCCAUUGGGGAUGAGAUACGGCCCAGACUCCCAAGGGGGGCAGCAGUGGGGAAUAUUGCACCAUGGGGGCAAGCCUGAUGCAGCGAAGGCGCGUGGGGGAUGACGGGCUUCGGGUUGUAAACCCCCUUCGCCCGGGACGAAGCUUUUUGUGACGGUACCUAGAUAAGAAGCACCGGCUAACUACGUG
RNAcentral lists this ribosomal RNA (465 nucleotides) under uncultured bacterium. RNAcentral's name for it is "partial 16S ribosomal RNA". It matches the Rfam family "Bacterial small subunit ribosomal RNA", at positions 28 to 507 of the family's 1533-position model. The record is from RNAcentral.